This 1806-nucleotide long non-coding RNA is filed under the name Trifolium pratense (red clover). RNAcentral describes it as "long non-coding RNA (TPRA_LNC007271)". Lineage: Eukaryota; Viridiplantae; Streptophyta; Magnoliopsida; Fabales; Fabaceae. The record is from RNAcentral.
UUAACUUAAUAAUCCUGAUUGUUAUCCUGCCCAUGAAUUCCCUCCCGGGUUAAUACUAACUUGUCCUGAUUAUCAUGUACCUAACGUGUAAUUAACAUUCUAAUUAUUUAAUGUACUUAUAGUAUCCACAUAAAAUAUCUAAAAGAGCCAGGGAUCUAAAAAGAGUGAAAGCAUAUGCAUUUUAAAAGAUUCUGCAGGAUGCUGAUCUGCUAUUCUCACUUAGAGAGGAUACCAAUUCAGCAUUCUGUUUUGUGUAAACUAUGCAUAAAUUCGCCUACAAUCCCUCUUUCUAAUAGCUAUGCACACCAUAAUGGAUUAAAUAAUUAAAAUGGAGAAGAACUUUGGGAUUAAGCUCCUCUCAUACACUAAUUCACCCUAAAUCCUAAUGUUAUCAUGCAAAUCAUAAUUUACGGGAAGUAACUUAACUUUCUUUCUAAACUAAUAUUGUCAUGCAUAUAUUUUGGGCAACUAAGAUACUAACUAAUCAUAAAGGUUGAGCUUCUAAGGGAACCCACCUGAAAUCGACGCUUGAACCAUACCACCGACAUUUCCGAAACUCGUCGAAAAGCAGAAUUUGCAACGAAACUACUCCAAACUUGUGUGCAGAUUUUUCUGCAUAAUACCAGCAUCAGAGUUCCAACUUCAAAAAUACCUACUGGCCACAAUUCUGGUCCAUAAAUUAUGAAACCGGGACCAUAACGACCGUAUUUGAGUCAGCUUUCCAUAGCAAUCAGAAUAAAUCCAAACGGAGUUACAGAGAGAAAUAAUUUACCGUUUGAGUGCAGCCCAAUCCCAAACACUUUCUGCAUAAAUUCUGUGUUGGACCUUUCACUUUAAAGAUUCGUCGAGACCUCAUUUCUCCAUUACAUCUCACUAGGCUGGUACCUAAACGACCGGGAUUACGUUAGCUAUCCAGAACAUCAAGAAUGGUUAAAUUUGGACUAACACAGAGAGAAGUACGACCAUUUUAGUGAGGGUACAUCCAGCAUACGAAUUUCCAUAAAUAUUUCCAGUCUUCUUUGUUUCCUUGUUUCAACAAUUGUCCUUACUGAUUCGUACAUCCUCAGUCAUCAUUCAAGCAUCCAAUGCUUCUUAAUAAAUUCUAUUUUCCUUUAUAAUGGUUCUGAAUUCCACUUUUAAUUCCAUGCUCAGCUCCAAUUAUUUAACCAAGCCUCAUUCACCACAAAAACCACAUGUAAAUACCAAGAAUGGAAUUAAUGACAUUUUCUAACAUCGAAGAAUAUGCUGAUUCUGAAAUCUGAAUGAAAGGAAAAGAGCUCUAAGUUUUCUUACCAAUAUUCAAGAAUGGUUUGACAAAGAUGCAGAAGAACUGUUGCCCUGCUACGGUCAUUGAGAGACCUUCCUGCUCGCUAGGUGAGCUGUUGCAGUAAGCAAAAUGCAGCUUUUGCUGCCAUCCUCCACUUCCAGCGGCCGUAGAAUCAUGAAUUAAGUGUUGAAACUCCAAGCUUCAAGCUUUUCCCCAACUUCUCUAUCUCCAUGAACUUCUUAUUUUUGCCACUAAGUUCUCAACUUCCAAUUUGACCCCUUUUACUCAAACCUCCGAAUCUUUGAGGUUUUAAUCAAUACUUUGUUCCUUGCUCUAAUUGACCCAAGAAACUAAUGAGUGGAUUGCAUGCAAGAAUCUUCCAUGUUUGAUUGUUGAAUAAAUGGAAAGGUAGAGAUGAGGGUGGGAGGCGUGAGAGAGGGUGAGGGAGUCUUUGUUUCCUGAGUGCUCUUUCAGUUCAGCAAAUGAAAAAUGAAAUUGAAGAGAUAUGGCUUUGGUCAUGUGGUUCAUAAUCAAAGUGU